AGAGUUUGAUCAUGGCUCAGGAUGAACGCUGGCGGCGUGCCUAAGACAUGCAAGUCGAGUGGGUUUAGACCACGGCGAACGGGUGAGUAAUGCGUGGGAACUUUCGUUAAGUUCAGGAUAUCCUCCCGAAAGGGAGAGCAAUACUGGAUGUGGAGGCAACUCUAAAGUCGCAAGACGCUUAACGUGAGGCCUGCGUGCCAUCAGCUAGUUGGUAGGGUAAAAGCCUACCAAGGCUAUGACGGCUAGGGGGCCCGAGAGGGUGAACCCCCACACUGGGACUGCGACACGGCCCAGACUCCUACGGGAGGCAGCAGUUUGGAAUUUUGGACAAUGGACGAAAGUCUGAUCCAGCGACGCCGCGUGCACGAAGAAGGUCUUCGGAUCGUAAAGUGCUUUUGCAGGGGACGAAUUUUUGACUGUACCCUGAGAAUAAGAGGUUGCUAACUCUGUGCCAGCAGCAGCGGUAAUACAGAGACCUCAAGCGUUAUCCGGAAUCAUUGGGCGUAAAGCGUACCGAUAGGUCGUUUAUAAAGUCUUGGGUAAAAGCCGGAAGCUCAACUUCCGCGUUUGCUUAAGAUACUUAUAGACUAGAGGGGCAAAGAGGUGCUUGGAACCAACGGUGUAGUAGUGAAAUGCGUUGAUAUCGUUGGGAACACCGAAAGCGAAGGCAGAGCACUGGGUGCCACCUGACACUGCUAGGACGAAAGCGUGGGGAGCGAAUGGGAUUAGAUACCCCAGUAGUCCACGCUGUAAACGAUGAAUACUAGGCAUACGCGAGUAUCGACCCUCGUAUGUGCCGUAGCUAACGCGUUAAGUAUUCCGCCUGGGGAGUACGGUCGCAAGACUAAAACUCAAAUGAAUUGACGG
This 867-nucleotide ribosomal RNA is filed under the name uncultured bacterium. Its description in RNAcentral is "bacterial SSU rRNA". It matches the Rfam family "Bacterial small subunit ribosomal RNA", at positions 8 to 916 of the family's 1533-position model. The record is from RNAcentral.